CACACGACCGAUGCAUCGUGUAACGGAGGAGAUCGGUAGAACAAACAGCGAUUUUUCUCGACAAGACAUCUUACCGAUUAAUUUCAGUCUCCCGUCGGGGCCUGAACAUCGUUGGGAAAAUUUCAUCGGGUUUUUCGAAGCUUGGUUCUCGCGUUCAACAGUAACCGAUCAUGGCAAAGAAAAUAAAUAAUCGUUCCUUGAUGUUGUUUGCAUUUCCUCGAUUCUCUGCUUAAGAUCUUCUUACAAAUGAAGGAGCAUGAAACAACGAUUUUACGCAAAUGGAGCCAACAAACCGGAACAAACACCAAAAGAACUGAAUACAAGAACUGAAUACUAUUUUCCGCAUUCCUACUAUUUAAUAUGUAUUGUUUUAAGUCGAUGCAUAUGCAAUGUCGUAUAAAAUGAAAUUUUGAUCACAUCGUUAUAUUUAAA
This 432-nucleotide unclassified non-coding RNA is filed under the name Bombus terrestris (buff-tailed bumblebee). RNAcentral describes it as "misc RNA ENSBTSG00005033879.1". The record is from RNAcentral. Lineage: Eukaryota; Metazoa; Arthropoda; Insecta; Hymenoptera; Apidae.